GAUCCAUAUUUAAUGACCCGGCAGAAGCUGCAUGGAAAUGGGUCCCAUUAGAACCCAGCCACAGGCCCACGGGCUCCUGCAAAGCGCUGUACAGGAGGACAGUUAGCUUGUACUAAUGAAGACACGUCCGUUUCCCAUUGAUGCCGCUGAGGUCGGCCGCCGGCACGCCUUUCGAUAGGUCAGUGCACGAGAACGUGAAGCGACUGAGGAAUAAGUCUCCGAAAUGUCGAUUAUAAUCAGAUUUCUGUACCUCCUCAUCUACUGGUGCAGUGUCUGCUGCGAUGCGGCCCAUGCUUUACAAACAAAGCUUUCAAUUUAUUUGCAUUAAAUUGUACUGUAUAACUCCUGGGCACCUUUAGGGAGAAGCCCAACGGCGAGCUGGUACAAUACAUCACAUCUGGCUGAGGAGUGGGAGCAGAGUGACAUCUGGACUACAACGGUGAUGCUGCCACCGUUCACCAGUAGCAACAGAGUCGCCUCCGGCCUCCAGCACCAAACAGAGCAUCUGACAGGUGCCGCCGGCUGUGAAGGAGGCAGGUGGUCGGGGAAACUCGGCGGUGGUGGACGGGAUGUUCAUUGUGUCAUUUCCAUGUUGAUGCAUCGUUUCACCGGACGCAGCAGCUGUCUGCUGAGAGGAGCAGUUAGGGCACCACAGAUGCUCUCUUGGUUUACACACACACACACACACACACACACACACACACACACACACACACACACACACACACACGCACGCACACACACACGCACGCACGCACGCACGCACGCACACACACACACACACACACACACACACACACACACACGCGCGCUUCCCUCCGCAUGACUGCUGUUGUGAUUACUCCUGCUAAAGUUGAACAAAUCCAUCAGUGAAGGGACGUCGGUGACUCAUGUGCUGCGACAGUCACGUCCGUUUGCCAGAGUGGCACCGUCACGGAGCGGCUUCGUGGAACAGGCGACAGGAGGAGCGACAGAAGGAAGUGAUGCAAUGAACGCAGGACUCACCGAAUGGGUAAAUAAACAAGCGCACACAGACA
RNAcentral lists this long non-coding RNA (1037 nucleotides) under Betta splendens (Siamese fighting fish). Its description in RNAcentral is "lncRNA (ENSBSLG00000020427.1)". Lineage: Eukaryota; Metazoa; Chordata; Actinopteri; Anabantiformes; Osphronemidae. The record is from RNAcentral.